AGGGGGAAUUGAUUUACAACCUUCAGUUCUCUUGUGCAGCACCACCCCAUCUGCUAACGGAUACACUUUAGACUACAGUUCCCAGCCUUCUCCAAAGAGCAAGCAGAACAUUUUCCUUUUGCUUCUUCUGGUGCAGUUAUUUUCAUUAUUUUUUUAAAGAAGUUUUGUUUGUUAGUUUAAAUCUCUCAUCUGCCCAUAUCCAGUAUAAUCAUAGAAUCAUAGGACUGGAAGGGACCUCGAGAGGUCAUCUCGUCCAGUCCCCUGCACUCAUGGCAGGACUAAGUAUUAUCUAGACCAUCCCUGACAGGUGUUUGUCCAACCUGCUCUUAAAAAUCUCCAAUGAUGAGCACUUCAAGUAUCUAUUGGUCUCAGGCAUAGAUUAUGUCUCAGAUGCAGCCAUAUAUGCUUUUAAAUCUGUAAAACCCAUGCAGAAGCCCCACCUAGAUAGCCAAACUGUGACUUGUACCAAGACCCAGUCAGAUGCUCAACAACAGAAAUCAAAGCAAAUCUUACCCUGGCAGUGUUGAAUUGGGAUGGGCAAUACACUAGAUGAGUUUUAUCAAACGACUGAAACUUUAGACACUGGGAAGCAUACUGCAUUUGUAAAGACCAAGGGAACAAGAGAAAGGCAAUGGAAGAUUAAUGUGUUAGCUGUUUAUCUGAGAUCAUCCCACGUAUUUGGCACAAUCCACGUCUGCAAGUCCUGUGAGGAAAGCAUUCCAACCAAAAAAGGGGUUUUGGAAAUGAAGGAAGGAACCUUGCUGUUGGGAGGAAAAACAACAGGGAAAAUCCCGUUUUUCGAGGAGGUAAGUGCCCUUAUCAAAGACUCAAAUCUCCUGUAAUUAGCUGAUGACAAGCCAGACCCUAGCAGUCUGUAUUCAUUUCCUUUCCUCCACAAUAGUGUCAUUCAGCCUCAGAGACAAGGCAGCCAACCAAGGCCACAUUGUGCAGGAAACACUGGAACAUGAAAAGCAAAUUCUGAGCAAACUCCAAGAGGUAGAACCAGCUCUGCUUCCACAUAAUGAAGAAUACAAUCCAAAACAGGGCAUCUGAAGAAGUGGGCUGUAGUCCACGAAAGCUUAUGCUCUAAUAAAUUUGUUAGUCUCUAAGGUGCCACAAGUACUCCUGUUCUUUUUGCAAAACAGGGAUGGACACAUUGUUUAUACAGGCCUUGGGCUGCUAGCUAGCACAGAUCAUAGGUCAAACGCUGACAAAUAGAAGAACAGGAAAGAUUAUUGUGCUCUCUCUGUACUCACAACCAUUUCCCUCGGAAGGGAGCCGGGGAUAAAUGCACACAACCAUUCUCUUUCUUUUUCAAGUGUGCUUGAAAAAACCCAUGUAACCAAGGAUAUGGAAAUUGACAAAGUCUAAACAUUUCAUUUCAGAUCCACUUGUGCCAAAAACUCCUGAGAAGCAAGCACUGGAGUAAGGUUUGGAAAAGGAUCCAAAUGCACAGCCGCUGACCCCCAACAAUGAAGAACUGCAAGAAAAACAUGACGAGUGAGGUUUCUGAAAAGCUGUAUUUGGUGAACUGCAUGGACUGACGUUCUCGACUAAAGGCACUGGAUCUGUUCGGGUACCUCCCUCUCAUUUUGAGAACCACUUUCCAAUGACUCUCUUUAAAUUCUACUUUGUUCCUAUCAUGGAUGACUGCAUCCUGUGAUCUCACUCCACUUCUUAACCCUUUUAUUGCUGAACACAAUACAGCCAUCAUUUGGUGAUUUUCUGUAGAAGUGCCAGCACUCCGUUGGAACAAAUAUUUCAGAGGGAAUGUAUGAGGAUAUGUGUUGCAACAUUGGAAGUACAUUUUUGCUUCAUGCUCCUGGUAUGUUAGACGCAAUUCAGCUGGUUAAUACUAAGACACUCAAGUUACAAGGCAUUUUCCUGAUGCAAACCUAAACCUAUCAAUGGCUCGAGGCAUCACUGGUUCCAAAGGGUUAAUAACUAGAAACAUUUAAUAUAAAAUACAGUCCCAAUAGAGAGGCAACAAUGAAACUGAAGCAGUAAAUCCCAGAUAAUAGCCACAUGAAGUCAGUACCUUGAUGUCUCUUUUUCUUUCCUAAUUUACUGACUGGAACUUGGUUUGGUAGUGAAGGCUGCACUUUAAGCAAAAACUCAGUAUAAACUGAUUGCUCUCUCCUUGUGUUCCCCUCCAUUUCAAAGCAGUUCUCUGAUGCUGAGGUAGCUGUGGGUUUUUUAAACUGGUAGCAUAGCGCAAAGGAUGAGUAAUUGCCACUGAAUCAGGUUUAUGUGCUGGGCAACUGGUAAUGUCUUCCCAAUGACUGUUUGCUCUAACCUAAAUGGCUGAUCAAUUAGGGAUCAGAUAUGGAAAUACCAUGCAUUAAAAAAAAAAACAAAAAAACUGAUACUCUUUAUAGCACUUUUCAAAUUUUCUUAAUACAAAUGUUGUUAGUAAAAUACUGAAAAGAAUUACACUUAUUUUUCUCCUGAUAUUUCAGAACAUCUUUGCCCCUCUUUCUCAUUUAAGAAAACCUUAAAUGAAUAGUUAUUGUAUAGCAUGUAUGCAUUGUGUUCACUCAAUUUGCUUUACAGAUUCUCUUUAGUAAUAGCAUUUUGUAUUUGAAAUGGUGGAUCUACUCCAGCAAGAAAAAUCUUCCUGUAGCAAUCUCUAAUUUACUUUUGAGUAAGCAGAAUGUAUUUGAAUAAGUACAUCACUUGAAAAGUUUAGGGAAAGAGUUUUCAUAAUCUAACAAUUGUCAUAUUUUACCUCCCAUGCUUGCAAAAAUACAUAUUUCCCACCCCCAAAGCAUUGGCCUACAAAAUUGAACUCUUUUUAAUUGGGAAAAGACCUACCUCAAGGUUUACAAUACAGAAAACUGACAGAGGGGACAAUUAGUGCAGUUUGUACCUCACAAAAAGUGUGAGCAAACUGUCAGCUAGGUAGGAGUCAGGACUUCCUCUCCCCACCCCCAGAAACGAAGGGAUUUCCUGUCCGAUACAUCCCGUGUAAGUAACUGAGU
Long non-coding RNA from Malaclemys terrapin pileata, 2981 nucleotides. RefSeq lists it as uncharacterized. The record is from RefSeq and is a predicted model, not a curated record. NCBI's taxonomy places the organism in Eukaryota, Metazoa, Chordata, Testudines, Emydidae. The transcript has 3 exons.